Macaca fascicularis (crab-eating macaque) is the source of this 2113-nucleotide long non-coding RNA. NCBI's taxonomy places the organism in Eukaryota, Metazoa, Chordata, Mammalia, Primates, Cercopithecidae. The record is from Ensembl.
GGAGUCUUGAGUGUACAUGCCCCCCCCCCCCCCACACUACAGCUGAGAGACCCUGAAGGCAACUCCCCCUGAGUUACAUAUCUCAGGGGUAAUGUGACUCACUGGGCAAAGCUGGGAAGGGCAUCCUGCUUCCAGAGGAGAGAAGAAUAAAGCCUGGGCUGUCCCGGGCAGCCUCUCUCUAGCUCCAGAUGUUACAUUUUCUAGGAGGGACAGAAACGGGGCUUGGGCUGUUUCAGGCAGUUACUGCCUGUUUUGGGUUUGUCUGUUUGUUUGAGAAAGAGUUGCUCUGUUGCCUAGACUGGAGUGCAAUGGUAUGAUCUCAGCUCACUGCAACCUCUGCGUCCCGGGUUCAAGCUAUUCUCCUGCCUCAGUCUCCUGAGUAGCUGGGAUUACAGGUGCCCGCCACCAUACCUGGCUAAUUUUUGUAUUUUUAGUAGAGAUGGGGUUUUACCACGUUGGCCAGGCUGGUCUUGAACUCCUGAUGUCAAGUGAUCCGCCCGCCUCCACCUCCCAAAGUGCUAGGGUUACAGGCAUGAACCACCACGCCGGGGCUAUUUUGGGUAUUAUGUUUUCAGCAUAUUCUACAGGUUUUUUUUGAAAACUACAAGCAAGAAAGAGGGUGAGAAUUAGGUCAGUGCAAGGUCCCCUGGAGGACUGUCCUGUAGUCACCCCCCACCAACCCAGAUAUCCCUCUUAGCAAAGCUAGUGCAUUUCAUAUGUCCACAGGCUUCCCCAGAUCUGGAAGUAGAGGUUUGCCUUGUCAAGUCAAUGUGACACCUUCACUGACACAAUGUUCGUGCAACAUCACUGAGUGAGCCAGAGUACAUUUCAUUAGGCCCAGGAGUAUUAUAACCACAAGCAGGGUGGCUGUACCUGCCUGAGCAGUCACCUACCCAAGGUUCCAGUGAUCCAGAUAAGAAUUCAUUAAAGAGACCAAAGAAGGAUUCUUCAGAUGUCCCCACUGUCUGCAGCAAGGGGGGCUGCAUUUGGAUCUCCUCCACCUGUGUCUCCACAAUGCCUGAGGUGUUUAUCUAGAUCGAGCAGGAAGUGUUGGCAACGACAUUCCUCCCAACUGGUCUAAAAGGGAGCCUAGAAGAAUUCUGUUGCCCAAACGACUUUCUUUAAGAACUUGGAGGAUAUCUGCUGGGCUGCUACAGCAGGGGCAGUGGAAGAAACAAUAUCUUUCAUGGUCAGGGACAGAUUCUUUUUUUUUUUCAGCUCUGACUCCUGUGUAUGGUACCAAAGCUCUCAUAAAGGACAUAAUUCCAGAGUCAGCUCCUCCUUCUAGCAGGUCCCUAGGUAGACUGGUGUACAGGUUUAGGCUGCUGGCCCAACAGUGCACCUCACCCCAAGGAGUGCUGUUUAGCAGCACCUCCAGCAGGCCCCAUGCAUGGAUCUCCGCAUCCAUCAGCUUUUUGGGCAUGACAUUGCCCCUCCCAUACUUAGGUCACCUCCAACUGCCCUCAGAGAAAGAUGUAGCCCUCGGAUGCACGCAGCAUCCAUUCCCCCGUUUUAUUGUUCAGCGACCUGUUCAUAGUACGGAGGCAUUGGCAUUCACCAGCUAGGCCUCAUUAAUCACAUAGUUGCAUGAGCUCAGUUUCCUCCAUUCGAUGAUGGUCAUGAAGCUCCUAUGCAGAGGACUAGCAUUUGUUUAGUCCUUGUUUUUGUUGUCACUGCUGGGACAUUUCUGAUCCAAGUAGUCAAAGGACCAUGUUGAAUCAAAGCACCAGCCCACCAAGGUUUUGUUAGGUGUGGUUGUGACACUUUGAGUUAGUUAAGUUGUAACAGGCCCCCUCUAGCCCCCUCUCAAGUGGCAAGUGCCAGAUCCUUACUCAGUAACCAGGGCCGGGAUUCUGUUAACGUACAUUGUGGCCUUAGGAAUGCUGGUGUACUUUACCAUUGGCAGGAUGAGAGGGUCUCUGUGGUCUGUAACAGAACAAAGUCUGGGAUGGAGGAUCCAGUACUUAGUCAGGCAGCCUGCAGUGAUCACAGCUUGGGAAUGCCUAAUGAAAGUGUUAUGCUCCAGGCUUCUACUGCCUCAUGGAUAAAGUAGAUUGACAGGUUUCUUCCCCUUCCCUUUCCCUUCCCCUGAGGUACAGGUAGUUCCUGCCUA